RNAcentral lists this ribosomal RNA (290 nucleotides) under Triticum aestivum (bread wheat). RNAcentral's name for it is "partial small subunit ribosomal RNA". Lineage: Eukaryota; Viridiplantae; Streptophyta; Magnoliopsida; Poales; Poaceae. The record is from RNAcentral.
CUUAGUGUCUCGACUCUUUUCACAUAAAUGAAUUGGUGAAAGUCUGAACUUGCUGACAAAUCUGUAGAGUCCAUUUUUCUUGUAUUGACGACCGAGCCCAUCAGAGUUGUGUGUUGACAAAUUACAUGGUAUUUUCCUCUCAAAUAAAUUACAUGGUAUAUUAACUGUACAUGGUUUAAAACUUGUAUUGGUACAUGGUUCAAAAGUUAGUAUUAGUUGAUUGAGACACCUUUGAUGCAUUGGGCACAAAACAGAGUACUCCGAGUUACAAUGUAAACUGUGAGUUCCAU